ACAUUCCACAGUGCAAACAGCAGGCAGAGCUUCUCAGAGAGGAGACUAGCAGUUACCUUUGAAGUCUUCCAUGUCAUUUUCACAAUGAUUUGUGACUGGUUCAAGUCCCCCCCCACACUUGUAAGAAGGGGAACAGAGAGACUGGAACCCAGAGGAUCUGAUCCCAAAGCUAUCCUUUCUCUCACUCUCUUGGAUGGUCUCUGUCAUCAGGUUGCUCACAGGCACCAAUAAGGGUGGAAGGGACAAUCUACAGUGCCACAGAGUCUGUUGAUACUGUGCUGUCGCUCAUGCCUCCAGUCCAAGCUUGCUGCAGUGCCACAUCCAUGCAAAGGCUUCCCCUGACUGUGAGUUGGACAACAUGUGUUGGUACCAUGCUCCUGCCCUGCCUGUCCUCAUCUCUGACUCUCUUGAGUGAAGACUUUGAACAUCUUCACGGAUACCUGCAUUGCUGAUUGAUGACCAUUCCCUACACAUCCCACUGUCCUGCUGCACUGGCUGGUCCUGGAGAGACAGACCCCUGAAACAACAGUGAGCUAAAAAAGAAUCAGUGCUACCCUGACCCCGUGGUAUCGUAUGCUUCACAGCACCAUAGCAGGAUUAGCUUGACUUAUGUUAGAACAUAAGUAUGUAUUACAUUUCUUAAAGUGACCUAUUUGAUAAACAGAAUUGCUGAGCAUUUUUGAGGGUAUGCCUAGAGGUGUUAUAAAAACUAUAUCGAGAUAAACAGGGUACUGUGAAUCAAGAAAAUGGAGUGAGCUCUGCCCUCGGGCGAGGCAAGCAUAAGAAAUGUGGCUUAUGGGCCUCCUCCAGUAAUGUCAUCUAAGCCCACCAGUAUUUCUGUGUCUGUCCACUUGUUCACUCUAACAUAUGCUAAGCUCCUACUGUGUGCGAAGUACUGUGUUCAGGGAGCUCAAGGGCAAGGUCCUACCAAACUACUUAGACAAGUACCUGGACAAAAGGUUCCCUCAAAAUUUUAAUGAGCUACACUGACUGAGAAGAACAGAAACAUGGCCAUGGUCCCUCGGCAUGGCUACAGCACCAAAUGGAAAACUGCCAAUGGACAAACAUCUUUACAUUUAGCAUUAACAUGAUUAGUAACUCCAGGCACGAGUCUCAGAGAGCAGUACAGAAAGACUAGCACAAUGACGAUUCUUUCCCUGAGUAGCCCCGAAUGCUGGGAUACAGGGCCCGCAAGACACAUCCUAUGUGAGAGAUCCUCACUUGUCCUUACCCAUGGCUACUCGCCCUCCUCAUAUCACUGAGGCCAUGAGGAAUAGCGAAGAGAAGGCGGCGGUGUGAGUGGGAGAGAGAGAACAGAUCUUUUCAUUAUGGAGUACUAUAAUUGGGAAGUAGAAUCCAACCAGAACGAUCAAACCAAAGACCAAAAAAGAAAAGCUACAUCUGCUCUUCUAAGGGAAACUGAGAAGGGGUCUGGGAGUAUCUGAGGUAGCACUUGGGUUGCAGAACUACUGUGUGGAACACAAAUUGAAGAAGCCCCUGUGAGCCCUUCUCUGACUCCCGGCAGAUACGUGUCUGGCGAGGAGGCAGUCGCCAGUCCCCUUCCUAAUUCUUCUCUUAGAAAAGAGAAACUGUGAAUGGUUAGGUUAAAUUAUUGCUAUGCAUCAACAGUGAUACUAAUACAUCCAUGCUUCACCAUGAGAGGGGAUCGCUGGUAACAAAAGACUCCAGUCAGUGUUACACACAGCUACCAUUCAACACACCUACUCCAUUCCUAAGAAUCUGCCUGAGGAAGUACACCACAUGUCUACUAAAGCCUGGUACAUUGGUAUUUACAGCAACUUUAACUUGGGAUAAUAACAACAGCAGUAACAACAACAACAACAACAAACUCUAGCAGCAACCCAAGUGUUCAUCAACCAAUAUCAUACAUCUAUACAGUAGAACACUAUUCAUCACUUAAAAUGAACUGUGUGUCUAGGUAGUAAUGGAUGAAUCUCAAAAUUAUUAUUCCAAGGAAAAGAAGUCAGACAAAAAGAAACCUAUGCUCUAUAUUUUGAUGUGAACGUGUAUGUGUGCAUGCGUGCGUGCUUGCAUUUUUUUCUCCCUAGGGAGUACCAACUAAUUCAUAAUGAGAGUUAGCUGAUCCAUGUGUGUCUGUGUGGUCGGGAGCAACAUGAAGGAAGAGAGCAAAAAAAGACCACAAAAAAAUAAGAAUUUGUAAGGUGAUGAAUUCAUUCAUUGUCUUUGUUGUGAUUAUGGCUUUCAGAGUGUGUAUGAUGUCAAAAGUAAGAACACUGUACACUUUAAAUAAAUGCUGUUUUCUGAGUUCUCACUGCACCUGUUAGGAAAAUGGUAGUAGAGAAUGUUCUGGAAGGCUGUACGCAAGAAUAUAAAUUGAUGGAUUCCUCUUGGAAAGCAGUUUGGCUUUUCUUUGAUCCUACUUUUAAAUCUGUAUCCUAGAGACAUAAAAUGAGAUACAACAGUUUCACUCCUGGAGCAUUUACAAUGGUGGGGGGGAAAGCGAGGAAAUACUAAUGUAUUUGAUGAAAAAAACCUGUCCCAAUAAAUCAUGGUUCUCACAUAUUGAAAUAUUAUGCAGCCGUUAAAGGCCAUGCUUAUGAGAAGCUUUUAAUAACCUGGGAGAAUACUUAUGUGAUGGUGCCAAGUAGAAAGCACCAAGAUAUAAAUUGUAUAUGUAGUGUGAAUUGAAUUAUGUAAAAUUAUGCACAGAAAAAUCUCUGAAAUAUCUUUGGGAUUAUUUCUGAGUGAUAUAGGGUAUGGGUGAUAUUUUUUAAUCUCUUAAUGCAAAUUUUGAAAUGUCCCUAUUUAAAAUGUAUUUCCUUAAUUUUCUACAAUAAGACUGUAUUUUUAAAUUGUGAAAUAAAUAAGCUAUCUUCAAGG
Molecule: long non-coding RNA, 2862 nt
Filed under: Mus caroli (Ryukyu mouse)
Lineage: Eukaryota; Metazoa; Chordata; Mammalia; Rodentia; Muridae
Description: lncRNA (MGP_CAROLIEiJ_G0004229.1)
Source: RNAcentral